GGGCCGGUAGCUCAGUGGUAGAGCACCGGACUUUUAAUCCGGGUGUCGUGGGUUCGAAUCCCACCCGGCUCA
RNAcentral lists this transfer RNA (72 nucleotides) under Chloroflexota bacterium. Its description in RNAcentral is "Chloroflexi bacterium tRNA-Lys". It matches the Rfam family "tRNA". Rfam says of the family: Transfer RNA (tRNA) molecules are approximately 80 nucleotides in length. Their secondary structure includes four short double-helical elements and three loops (D, anti-codon, and T loops). Lineage: Bacteria; Bacillati; Chloroflexota. The record is from RNAcentral. RNAcentral also lists the same sequence under 1 other name.